RNAcentral lists this transfer RNA (74 nucleotides) under Pirellula sp. SH-Sr6A. Its description in RNAcentral is "tRNA-Ile". It matches the Rfam family "tRNA". From Rfam's summary of the family: Transfer RNA (tRNA) molecules are approximately 80 nucleotides in length. Their secondary structure includes four short double-helical elements and three loops (D, anti-codon, and T loops). The record is from RNAcentral. Lineage: Bacteria; Pseudomonadati; Planctomycetota; Planctomycetia; Pirellulales; Pirellulaceae.
CGGCGUGCAGCUCGAUGGUCCGAGCAGCGUCCUUAUAAGACGAAGGUCGAAGGUUCGAUUCCUUCCACGCCGAC